This 92-nucleotide microRNA precursor is filed under the name Pelodiscus sinensis (Chinese soft-shelled turtle). RNAcentral describes it as "miRNA (ENSPSIG00000020089.1)". Lineage: Eukaryota; Metazoa; Chordata; Testudines; Trionychidae. The record is from RNAcentral.
UGUGUGUGUGUGUGUGUGUGUAGAUAUAUUUGUGUAUAUGUAUAUACACACACACACACACACACACACACACACACACACACACACACACA